GCAGGUGUAGUUUAAUGGUAAAAUUCGAGCCUUCCAAGCUCACGUUGGCAGUUCGAUUCUGCUCACCUGCUCCA
This 74-nucleotide transfer RNA is filed under the name Bacillota bacterium. RNAcentral's name for it is "tRNA-Gly". It matches the Rfam family "tRNA". Rfam says of the family: Transfer RNA (tRNA) molecules are approximately 80 nucleotides in length. Their secondary structure includes four short double-helical elements and three loops (D, anti-codon, and T loops). The record is from RNAcentral. Lineage: Bacteria; Bacillati; Bacillota.